This 599-nucleotide ribosomal RNA is filed under the name uncultured bacterium. RNAcentral describes it as "bacterial SSU rRNA". It matches the Rfam family "Bacterial small subunit ribosomal RNA", at positions 143 to 755 of the family's 1533-position model. The record is from RNAcentral.
AUAAGCCUGGGAAACUGGGUCUAAUACCGGAUAUGACCUGCGAUUGCAUGAUUGUGGGUGGAAAGUUUUUCGGUGGGGGAUGGGCCCGCGGCCUAUCAGCUUGUUGGUGGGGUGAUGGCCUACCAAGGCGACGACGGGUAGCCGGCCUGAGAGGGCGACCGGCCACACUGGGACUGAGACACGGCCCAGACUCCUACGGGAGGCAGCAGUGGGGAAUAUUGCGCAAUGGGCGGAAGCCUGACGCAGCGACGCCGCGUGGGGGAUGACGGCCUUCGGGUUGUAAACCUCUUUCGGCCCCGACGAAGCGAACAGUGACGGUAGGGGUAGAAGAAGCACCGGCCAACUACGUGCCAGCAGCCGCGGUAACACGUAGGGUGCGAGCGUUGUCCGGAAUUAUUGGGCGUAAAGAGCUCGUAGGCGGUGUGUCGCGUCGGCCGUGAAAACCUGCAGCUUAACUGUGGGCUUGCGGUCGAUACGGGCAUCACUGGAGUUCGGCAGGGGAGACUGGAAUUCCUGGUGUAGCGGUGAAAUGCGCAGAUAUCAGGAGGAACACCGGUGGCGAAGGCGGGUCUCUGGGCCGAUACUGACGCUGAGGAGCG